RNAcentral lists this ribosomal RNA (652 nucleotides) under Mucor irregularis. RNAcentral's name for it is "eukaryotic LSU rRNA". The stretch from base 247 to 399 matches the Rfam family "5.8S ribosomal RNA". Lineage: Eukaryota; Fungi; Mucoromycota; Mucoromycetes; Mucorales; Mucoraceae. The record is from RNAcentral.
CUUUCCUCCCGUAGGUGAACCUGCGGAAGGAUCAUUAAAUAAUUUGAGUAUGCUUAUGCAUAUUUCUAAUUUACUGUGAACUGUUUUACUGUUUAGCGUUUUGAGGGAUUGCCUAAAGAUUAUAGGGAUAGGUCUUCAGGAUGUUAACCUAGCUAAAGUCAGGCUUAGGCCUGGUAUCCUAAUUCAUUAUUUACCAAAAGAAUUCAGAAUUAAUAUUGUAACAUAAGCGUAAAAAACUUAUAAAACAACUUUUAACAACGGAUCUCUUGGUUCUCGCAUCGAUGAAGAACGUAGCAAAGUGCGAUAACUAGUGUGAAUUGCAUAUUCAGUGAAUCAUCGAGUCUUUGAACGCAUCUUGCGCUCAAUGGUAUUCCAUUGAGCACGCCUGUUUCAGUAUCAACAACAACCCACAUCCACAAUUUUGUUGUGAAUGGAAGUGAGAGUAUCGAUGUAAAAAUUGAACUCUUUAAAACUAUUAGGCCUGAACUAUUGUUCUAUUAGCCUGAACAUUUUUUUAAUAUAAAGGAAUGCUCUAGUUAAAACACUAUCUUGGGGGCCUCCCAAAUAAAUCAUUUUUUUAAACUUGAUCUGAAAUCAGGUGGGAUUACCCGCUGAACUUAAGCAUAUCAAUAAGCGGAGGGAAAGGAAGGUC